Molecule: ribosomal RNA, 605 nt
Filed under: uncultured bacterium
Lineage: Bacteria
Description: bacterial SSU rRNA
Rfam family: Bacterial small subunit ribosomal RNA (bases 1-518)
Source: RNAcentral
CCUACGGGAGGCAGCAGUGGGGAAUCUUGCGCAAUGGGCGAAAGCCUGACGCAGCAACGCCGCGUGCGGGAUGAAGGCCUUCGGGUUGUAAACCGCUUUCAGCAGGGAAGAAAUUGACGGUACCUGCAGAAGAAGCCCCGGCCAACUACGUGCCAGCAGCCGCGGUAACACGUAGGGGGCGAGCGUUGUCCGGAUUUAUUGGGCGUAAAGAGCUCGUAGGCGGUUCGGUAAGUCGGGUGUGAAACCUCCAGGCUCAACCUGGAGACGCCACCUGAAACUGCUGUGACUAGAGUCCGGUAGGGGAGUGUGGAACUCCUGGUGUAGCGGUGAAAUGCGCAGAUAUCAGGAAGAACACCAGCGGCGAAGGCGGCACUCUGGGCCGGUACUGACGCUGAGGAGCGAAAGCGUGGGUAGCAAACAGGAUUAGAUACCCUGGUAGUCCACGCCGUAAACGUUGGGCACUAGGUGUGGGUCUCAACCAACGAGAUCCGUGCCGCNGCUACGCAUUAGUGCCCGCCGUGGGAGGUACGGCCGCGAGGACGUAAACGUUAAAGGUAAGUUAGACGGCGUGUAGACGUUGCCGAGGCGACGACGAGGGGAGGAGG